Molecule: unclassified non-coding RNA, 5993 nt
Filed under: Orussus abietinus
Lineage: Eukaryota; Metazoa; Arthropoda; Insecta; Hymenoptera; Orussidae
Description: uncharacterized LOC105698279, transcript variant X1
Source: RNAcentral
CUCGCCGAGCCGGCGGUGUGCUCGCGCGUCGCGUUCCUGGUCGCCUUCGCCGAGUCUUCCUCCUCGGGAGUUAUUCGCCGUGUGCCCGCGUUUCCGAAAUACCCCGCCGCAGUUGACAUCGGGCGUGGCGUUGGUUCGGUCCUCGGGGAGAGGGUCGUCCCCAUACCUCGGAUUUCUUCCCUAGGGAAGAGCUUACCGGUACCCGUGACUAAACGAUGACGACGGCGACGUCGACGUCGGUGUCGGAGGUGCCGCGAGUGCCGUGAACUCGGCGGUCGAUCCUCGGUCGAGAUCGAAGGGGGAUCGGCGAUCGACGGGGGUGAUCAUUGUGAUUGUUCGUGGUGGUUUUGGUGCACAGACCCCGAGGGAUUCCUGCGACUCAUCCGGCUAGGCCUCGUCCUCUUCGGGGGCAUCUUCAUGUUGGGAGUCCUCAAGCGGCGCUGGAAGCCUUCUAAACGGGCUUCCAGCGGCCGCGGCCCCGACUCGCCCUUAAGCUCGGACUUAACUCUCGACAAACCACGCCCGAUUCCAUCCCCUAGACAAAUCCACCCCCUGUACGGCGAGAAAGCCGGAUUCCUGGGGUACUGCGAUACGAUCGGUAAUACAGAGAACUUCCCGCCCGCCCCCAACAUCGUCGUGGAGGGCGGAAGGAUCGAGUUCGUGCGCCCCUCGCAAGAUGGCGCCACCACCCCUCGCCGGAACACCGUCUCGAGGGGGUCGCAGACUUUCACCGACCAAUCGGAGAAGUCCGACCCGGCGAAGGAAAGUUUGGAAGAACGAGUGCAAGAACUGGAGCAAACACUACAGGCUGAACGUGUUGCUGCUCAAAGAGAUCGAGCCCUCAUCACAAAGUUGCAACGCCAAAUUAAUAAGAGGGAGGCGACGCAGCGAGAUGUGGAACGGGAACGUCGACAACGCGUGGAAGCUGAAGCCAGGGUUCGGGAAGCUGCAGCUGAAGCCGAACGUGCACGUUCGAGGGUGCAUCACCUUCAGAGAGAGCUCGCCAGAAUGGAGGAGACUUCUCGGGGGUUGUUGCAACACAAACAACGGGCCGAGCAGUUGAAGCAAGAGAAGACGGCGCUCACCCUUUCUUACGAGGCACGCGUGCACCAGUACCAGGCCCAGAUCUCGAAGCUGCAGCUGGAGAGCGAGUCGAUGCGGGGUCAGCUGCGAGGCCUCGAAGCUGCAUGUGCAGGUGAAGUGCACGCAGCCCUGGUCGCCAGGUUGGCCACCCUGGAGUCGGAACACGCGGCCCUGGCUAGGGACGCCGACGCCCAGCGUCGGCAAUACGAGCGGUGCCUGGACGACGUCGCCAACCAGGUGGUCCGCGCCCUCCUGUCGCAAAAGGGACUCAGGGAAGAAAUCGGGGCGCUUCAGAGGCGCAUCCGGGAGCUGGAGGCCCAGAAUCGAGCGCUGUCGGGACUCCUUGCCCAGGCCACGAGUCCAGGAAGUCCCACGGACCUCAUCCAGGGCAUCAUCGAGGCUGGUCCCGCAGCUCUGGUCGCGGCCCUCGGGGUGGACUCUUCGUGGGUACCCUUGUCAAGGCCGCGUUCUCUGAACCUCCAAAUCCCUGUCAUGGCCACCGCGAAAUGCCGCAGGAACAGGCCUCUAGGGCAAAAGCCAUCGGAGGAGGAGGGAAGCGAGAGUCCGGAAAGUGGAAACCGGGACGAGGGUUACUCGACGAUGUCCAGCGACGUCCAAGGCGAGGGUGCUCGUCAGGAACCUUCCAGGGGCUUGGAGGACCUGAAGGAAGCCACGGACGAGACGGAGGGCGACGUCUCCCCUGAUGGCCGCCUAGUCGCCCUGGAUGCCGGGGACCCCGACGUCCUUUUUCUUCCCUUGAACCUAACUCUGGGCAUCAACCCCAGACACAGCUACCCUCCGACCAAAGACCUGCUGCCCUAUCAGCACGUGAUGAGAAGCUUCUCCGACAGCCACCUCUGCCUGAAGCUCACCACCACGGCCAACCUGACACCCUACAACAUCGCCAGUCCCACGGGUUCCUCUUCCCUGCUCCUCGUCGAGGAGGAGGGCUGGGAUGCCGAGUACGUCCAACAGUGGCUUAGGUUGGACGACACGAGGAGCGCCCAACAACACCGGGACCUUUUGGAGCUGGAGUACGACCGAGCGGAACUCGAAGACUGGAGUUUCUCACUUUCGACCGAAGAUCUCGUCCAAACGGAACCUAACGCGUGGAAGGAGCCGGUCACCACCCCGGCACUUCCUGCCAUCAAGGAGCAGAAUCCUUUGGAGCUUGAAGAAGACGCCAACGAGUGCUUGUGGAACGGCGCGAGUUACCUCGCUGACCGAACCGGGGGCGAACUGGUGAGAAAUGUUGCAUUGCUAAUGGAUGCCAGAGCAACAGGACCUUGGCCUUAUGCCUCGAGUCCUGGAGCAUCCUGGAGCAGCGAGGAUGGUGCCCUUGAAAACUCCAGCAAGAGGUCCUCCGCUGCACUUUCCGGGUGCAGCGACGAUCCCGAUUCUCCUUCCGUGGGCACAGACUUCACCAGAGACUUCUACAGGCUUGUCAAAUUCGAAAGCACCAAAAGCUUGGCCAGCACGUCCUCGCGAGGAGGAAAACAACCUCCGGAUCGGGAGCAAGCUCUUCAGAGUGUUCUUUCGUUCAUCGCCGAGCAACAAAUGUACCUCGCGGAAUUGCCUAACAAUUCCUCCGAUCACAAUGGCGAAUCUCUUGCGACUGAAGUUUCAGAGAUGAAUGGCGCGAAAAACGAUCGAAUGAUGGACAUGCGCUGCCCGGAAUCCGUGGAGUCGCUGGUCGAUUCAGAAAAUGGCCAUCUCGAGAACCUCCACGAGGUUGGGGCCGAAGAUGACCUACUCGAGAAAAUCCCAGUGCCUCCCCUGGCACCCGAAGAACGCAUAAUCAGUGCAAUUGCAUGCAACGGAGGAGUUUCCUACACCACGGUGGCCCCCUCGGAGUUGGUCGCGGUUCCUGAAGAGGACGAGGAAGCGGCCACCUCUUCGACUCCUAGCACGGUGGUAAACAAUGUGAGUCCUGCGAGAGCGCCACUCCUGAUAGAGGGCAGGGACAGGUCGCUGAGCUUCCACGAGAGAGCCACUUCGAAGGACGUGAUCGACGAGCUGAACAGGAUGAUCAAGAAAGGAGAGGAUCAUCCCAUUGCCAACGAUUCCCAGGUGGUCCUGGAUAAACUUGACCUCGCUUGCUGCUGUCCCACAGGAUGGGUUCACGUGGAAAGGAACAUAGACUUUACCGACCCCAAGGCUAGAGCCAAUCUUUUGGACGUGAUGCUCGCAAGCAGCGAAAGUUCAUCGACGACCUCGAGCAGCGGUUCUGCCGGCAGCGAUUCCGGGGAUGAACCUCCGGAUUAUCGUCACUUGCUCAGACUACAUCGUUACAGGAGGCAAAAGAAAGCAUCGGCGGCCCAGGCGCAUCGGGUGCUGUGCGUGUCCUCUUCCUGGAGCUCUUCGAGGCCCUCCAUCAUCGGGCGAGACGACUUCUUCGUCAGGUACGGGGACAAGGAGCGGGAGGCUGUGGCAUCCUUCGACUUCCUGGACGAGAUGACCCUGGCGUCGGUGGCCUCGCCCGUGGGCUCGGGAGAGAGUUCUUCGGAGAUGGACAGCCCGACUGAGAACGGGAGAAGGCACUCCAUGCAACUGUCUCCGCUCUGAGACCUGGAUGCUGGGGAUUUUAUCCUGCGGAGCAGACGAUUUCGUUGAGGAGGUUGGAUCAAAUAUGGUCAAUCGAAGAAGGAGAAGAAGGGAGGUUCUAUCUAGGUUGCCUGGACUCCUUUGUAAGGAAUAGCCACCAGGAGCGGUUGGGCUCUCACGGGAGUUCUUUGAAGAUGAUCAGAGAGCUGGAAAUGAGAGAUGUCUCUUCCAGAAGGAUGUUUUCCAGUACCUUUGAAGUAGACCGACCAGGCGUCUGGAUGAAGCAGCUACGAGCUGAUGGCUGGAGAUGUGUAUUUUAGAAACGAGGGUGGAGAAUGAGUACAAUGAAGAUAUUGUCAACUUGAAACCGAGGAGAGUCGUUCAUAAGUAUGCUGAAAGUUAUUCCAAAUUGAUAAUGUCGUCUGGGGUUUCAACUCGUCGAUUCCCUGGGAACCGAAAUCCGGGCUAAUUGGGGAGCCGAGCCCAACUCGGAUCUGAAACACUGAAGUGCGUUCGUCGUCGAGGGGAAUCGGAUGAUACCAUUUCUUUCGUAGUCUUGGAAUAAGGAGAGCAUUCCGGUGCACCUUUGAAGCCGACCGAACCGCCGUUUCGGUUGGAACGAUCAAGGGCGAGUCGACUCUCUCGAGUUGGUGCUGGUCGGGUGUCCAUUUGUUGGGGACCGUUAGAUGCUCCUUCGAAACGACGACAAGGAGUUCGAACGUUGAAUCCUGAAUCUGAAAGCCAACUUAAAAGGACGAUCUUUAACCUGAACUCCUGAAGAUGCGUGCAAACAACUCCAGGGCGCGCCCAGGGCACCUUCCCAGCUAAAGUUUCCCCUGGAAGCUUGAAGAUCGCCCUCUAGUUUAGAAGGACGAGUUAGAUAAUAUAAUCCGCCGCCGCCUCGAGGACACCAUCCACGAAGUCCACGAAGAGCUAAACGCCAGUCCAAGAGGUGACAGCGAACUACCACUGUAAAAAGCCGUUCCCUCCACCUAGGACCCAACCUCGAGACACUUCCCGAAGACCUGGAAGGGUAGUUCACCCAUCUGAGGAGAACAAAACAAUCUCCAUUGAUCCGGCAACAGGCGCUGAUGCAUCGCCGGAUCGGCUCCACACGAGUAGAUCCUCCUUAGACGUUAGAGAAAAGAAAGUGUAAUCCCAAGAAGGAUCAACGAUUCUUCUGCCGUAACCAUAAGAGAUCUCGAUAUGUACUUCGAAGCGUCGUUAAACCUAGAGACGAGUCCUUUUCACCCCCGGAAGGGAUCGAACAAAUCCUGGAUCUCGUUGCACAACUUCAGGGAAUCCUCUGGCGUCCACCUUGAAGAUGUCCUGCGGAAAGAGACGAGCCGAAAGGACGUCCCUUGAACUACCGGGGCACGUCUUCUCGUUGACAUAGACUUAACGCGUCACCAGGACCUUCCAAACUGAGCUUAGAAAUUCUAGAUUAAGGCUACCAAGUCGGAUUUUAUACGGGAUGUAAUGAUAUUUUCUACAUUAUCUUUUAACGGGGAGGUCGCGCGAUUUAUUGCGAUAUCCUGGGAGGGUUGUCGAUACAAAUGGCGCGACCCUCGAGGACCUUUAAAAGCUCCCUCGACGAGGCGCAAUCUCUCCACCGAGCCUGUAUAUUUUGCUUGGGAAAUCUGUAAAGAAGCGCGUCGGGAGGAUAUUAUUGGACAGCGAUCAACAGUUAAGGCUGCGAUUAGGAGUCCGUAGACAACUUAAGCUAGUUGAUAUCGAAAUAGAACGGACGUUAGGGUGGCUAGUAGGCGAUACUACUAUACGCGUCCGAAUAUAGUUGGUACCCUCUAGUAUCUCGUGCGAGGCUCACUGGAUCUAAGGACCUAAACGAUGUCGAAUUUCUUUUGUUUUUUUAUUUAUGUUGAAAUUAUUAGAGUAACUAUCACUAGGGAGUUCACGUCUGCUAAGAGUAAUGGGUCGAUAGAAUCAAAAUAUUUUACACGUAUAUAUAUAAAUAUUAUAUAUAUAUAUUAGGGAUAUUUUCAAUAUUCGAAUUGCGAGCAGGUAGACCGGGGACUGUGCAGGCAAAAGUCGCCGGGUUUCGGGAUUAUUUGCGUUGUUACAAAUGUUUUGCGCUGACAUGAAACAGAGACUUUUACGAUUCUUCCUUCUACGCGGAUUGGGCGAUUUUUGCCUGCUUACUUCGACUGCGUUUGCGGCGACGACGAUGAUCCUAAGCCAUUGUUAGCAUCCCGUCGUUGGGGGUGCCCUAGAUGCGGAAACUAAUUAUUAUUCCGGAGGAUAAUGUGUAUCGAAUUGAUUUGGACCCUGUACAUAGGAUGUAUCAUAGUACAACAGAUGUAAGUUAUCUUCUCUUAAACCUAAUAAAUAACGACAAUAUACGACGA